UACAGAGGGUGCAAGCGUUGCUCGGAUUUACUGGGCGUAAAGCGUACGCAGACGGCCGCGCAGGUCGGGUGUGAAAGCCCUGAGCUCAACUCAGGAAUUGCAUUCGAAACCAUGUGGCUCGAGUGUGGGAGAGGGUAGUGGAAUUCCCGGUGUAGAGGUGAAAUUCGUAGAUAUCAGGAGGAACACCGGCGGCGAAGGCGGCUACCUGGUCCACAACUGACGUUCAGGUACGAAAGCGUGGGGAGCAAACAGG
Molecule: ribosomal RNA, 253 nt
Filed under: uncultured bacterium
Lineage: Bacteria
Description: partial 16S ribosomal RNA
Rfam family: Bacterial small subunit ribosomal RNA
Source: RNAcentral